AGCCUUGGGGCAUCCUGUAGUUGGCC
This 26-nucleotide small RNA is filed under the name Bombyx mori (domestic silkworm). Its description in RNAcentral is "ovarian small RNA-12101". The record is from RNAcentral. Lineage: Eukaryota; Metazoa; Arthropoda; Insecta; Lepidoptera; Bombycidae.